Molecule: ribosomal RNA, 253 nt
Filed under: uncultured bacterium
Lineage: Bacteria
Description: partial 16S ribosomal RNA
Rfam family: Bacterial small subunit ribosomal RNA
Source: RNAcentral
GACAGAGGCCACGAACGUUGUUCGGAAUCACUGGGCAUAAAGCGCACGUAGGCGGCUAGGUCCGUCCGAUGUGAAAGCCCCCGGCUCAACCGGGGAAUUGCAUCGGAUACAGCCUGGCUCGAGGACGGUUGGGGUGAGUGGAACUCCUGGUGGAGCGGUGAAAUGCGUAGAUAUCAGGAGGAACACCGGUGGCGAAAGCGGCUCACUGGACCGUUUCUGACGCUGAGGUGCGAAAGCUAGGGGAGCAAACAGG